AAAACUCUCCUCCGAUGCUGGUGUCUUCCGGCACUUGGGGGGUUUUGGCAGAUGCCCACACCUUGAACUGUGUGUGCGCUGCCCAAAUACGCUGUCCGCGAGCCUGAGGAUUGCAGCCGACGUAGUGAGAUUCAAUCUCGUUGUCUGUUAAACCUGACAGGGGCAAUGGGACCUUAAGCGCCAUGGCGCCGACAUGAAGAC
This 201-nucleotide unclassified non-coding RNA is filed under the name uncultured Hydnotrya. Its description in RNAcentral is "sequence contains ITS2". The record is from RNAcentral. Lineage: Eukaryota; Fungi; Ascomycota; Pezizomycetes; Pezizales; Discinaceae.